GACGAACGCUGGCGGCGUGCCUAAUACAUGCAAGUCGAGCGGACGAUUCGAAAGCUUGCUUUUGAAUCGUUAGCGGCGGACGGGUGAGUAACACGUGGGCAACCUGCCCUGUAGACGGGGAUAACACCGAGAAAUCGGUGCUAAUACCGGAUAACACGAAAUGUCGCAUGACGUUUCGUUGAAAGGCGGCGCAAGCUGCCGCUACAGGAUGGGCCCGCGGCGCAUUAGCUAGUUGGUGAGGUAACGGCUCACCAAGGCGACGAUGCGUAGCCGACCUGAGAGGGUGAUCGGCCACACUGGGACUGAGACACGGCCCAGACUCCUACGGGAGGCAGCAGUAGGGAAUCUUCCGCAAUGGGCGAAAGUCUGACGGAGCAACGCCGCGUGAGCGAAGAAGGCCUUCGGGUCGUAAAGCUCUGUUGUUAGGGAAGAACAAGUAACGUAGUAACUGACGUUACUAUGACGGUACCUAACGAGAAAGCCGCGGCUAACUACGUG
RNAcentral lists this ribosomal RNA (498 nucleotides) under uncultured bacterium. RNAcentral's name for it is "partial 16S ribosomal RNA". It matches the Rfam family "Bacterial small subunit ribosomal RNA", at positions 28 to 507 of the family's 1533-position model. The record is from RNAcentral.